Molecule: transfer RNA, 72 nt
Filed under: Rhodococcus (subgen. Prescottella) equi
Lineage: Bacteria; Bacillati; Actinomycetota; Actinomycetes; Mycobacteriales; Nocardiaceae
Description: Rhodococcus hoagii tRNA-Ala
Rfam family: tRNA
About the family: Transfer RNA (tRNA) molecules are approximately 80 nucleotides in length. Their secondary structure includes four short double-helical elements and three loops (D, anti-codon, and T loops). Further hydrogen bonds mediate the characteristic L-shaped molecular structure. tRNAs have two regions of fundamental functional importance: the anti-codon, which is responsible for specific mRNA codon recognition, and the 3' end, to which the tRNAs corresponding amino acid is attached (by aminoacyl-tRNA synthetases). tRNAs cope with the degeneracy of the genetic code in two manners: having more than one tRNA (with a specific anti-codon) for a particular amino acid; and 'wobble' base-pairing, i.e. permitting non-standard base-pairing at the 3rd anti-codon position.
Source: RNAcentral
GGGGCCUUAGCUCAGUUGUAGAGCGCUGCCUUUGCAAGGCAGAUGUCAGGAGUUCGAAUCUCCUAGGCUCCA